This 253-nucleotide ribosomal RNA is filed under the name uncultured bacterium. Its description in RNAcentral is "partial 16S ribosomal RNA". It matches the Rfam family "Bacterial small subunit ribosomal RNA", at positions 524 to 776 of the family's 1533-position model. The record is from RNAcentral.
UACGGAGGGUGCAAGCGUUAAUCGGAAUUACUGGGCGUAAAGCGCGCGUAGGCGGCUCGAACAGUCGGGUGUGAAAUCCCUGGGCUCAACCUGGGAACUGCAUUCGAUACUGUCGAGCUAGAGUGUGGGAGAGGGUAGUGGAAUUCCCGGUGUAGCGGUGAAAUGCGUAGAUAUCGGGAGGAACAUCAGUGGCGAAGGCGACUGCCUGGCCCAACACUGACGCUGAGGUGCGAAAGCGUGGGUAGCAAACAGG